Long non-coding RNA from Mus musculus (house mouse), 1215 nucleotides. RefSeq annotates it as predicted gene 6117. Lineage: Eukaryota; Metazoa; Chordata; Mammalia; Rodentia; Muridae. The transcript has 2 exons. The record is from RefSeq and is marked validated.
GGUCUCACACGGGAUAGGCAAUCACUUGACUACUGACUGUGUCCCCAGCCAUUUGGUUUUUUGUUUUGUUUUGUUGUUGUUGGUGGUGUUUUGCUUGUUUGUUUGUUUGUUUGUUUGAGGCAGGGUCUUUUUAAGUUAUCUUUGCUACAGCCUAAUUUGCAGCUUCAACCUACCAAUUUGUGCCCAGGAACGAGGACCAGGACUGAGGAUGCCCUCUUUCUGCACAAUGCCUGCACAUGCAGAGUCUCUGCAUUUUGACACCCACAAGCUCCGCAGCUUCCCUCUCCUACUGUGACUCAUCAGCAUUCUCCUUUCCAGUGUUUUGGAGUGGGUGUUGAUGGAGGGGAACGUGGAUUUCCAGAUAGCAUCUCAUGCAGCCCAGCCUGGUCUUGAACUCAUUGUGAAGCCAAGGAAGGCCAUGAACUCCUGAUUUCCUCUUCUACCUUCCAAGUGUGGAGAUUACAGACACACACACCUUUAAUUACAGAACUUGGGAGACAGAUUCGAGUGGAUCUCUGUGAGUUCAAGGCCAGCUUGGUCUGUAUUGCAAGUUCCCAGGCCAAGUAGGGCUACAUAAUGAGAUCCUGGCAAAAAGAAAAGAAAAGUAAGAAGGAAGAGGAGGAGAAGAAGAAAAAGAAGAAGGAAAAAGAAAAGGAGGAGAUGGGGAUAAAGGAGAAGAAGGAGAAGAAGAAGGAGGAGAAAGAAGAGGAGGAGGAAGAGGAAGAAGAGGAGGAGGAGGAGGAGGAGGAGGAAGAAGAAGAAGAAGAAGAAGAAGAAGAAGAAGAAGAAGAAGAAGAAGAAGAAGAAGAAGAAGAAGAAGAAGAAGAAGAAAGCAAGAGCAAGCUCCCUCCACUGCUUUGUGUUUUAAGAGAGAAUGACUGUUCAGUGUCCCUGGAAACUCACCAGAAAGCGAAUCAUUGUGAAGCAGCUCAUGUCUUCUCCAUAAAAAUAACGCUGCCUGCUGUUGAGACUGCCUUCUAGAGGAAGAAUUGGCAUGAGAAGCCAGGCGUGACUGGCGAUGGCACAGGAGCAAAGAACUAUAAACCUUUAUCGUCACUUCAUAUAAUAAACGUAUAAUAUAAUAAACUUAAUAUAAUAAACGUGCGCUCUGAUACCUUUUCAAAUGCCCAGAAAUGGAGAGCGCACCCUGAUUACACAGAAGGCCAUAAAAUGAACAUGCUGCACAUAAAAAAAUUAUACCGUUGUAUAAAUUUU